ACUAAAAUGGCAGAAAAAUGCAUAAGAUUUAAGCUCUUAUUAUGAAACAUAGUUUCUUUUAGUA
Molecule: transfer RNA, 64 nt
Filed under: Trypaea australiensis
Lineage: Eukaryota; Metazoa; Arthropoda; Malacostraca; Decapoda; Callianassidae
Description: tRNA-Leu
Source: RNAcentral